GGGACACGUGGUAUCCUGUCUGAAUAUGGGGGGACCAUCCUCCAAGGCUAAAUACUCCUGACUGACCGAUAGUGAACCAGUACCGUGAGGGAAAGGCGAAAAGAACCCCGGCGAGGGGAGUGAAAAAGAACCUGAAACCGUGUACGUACAAGCAGUGGGAGCACGCUUAGGCGUGUGACUGCGUACCUUUUGUAUAAUGGGUCAGCGACUUAUAUUCUGUAGCAAGGUUAACCGAAUAGGGGAGCCGAAGGGAAACCGAGUCUUAACUGGGCGUUAAGUUGCAGGGUAUAGACCCGAAACCCGGUGAUCUAGCCAUGGGCAGGUUGAAGGUUGGGUAACACUAACUGGAGGACCGAACCGACUAAUGUUGAAAAAUUAGCGGAUGACUUGUGGCUGGGGGUGAAAGGCCAAUCAAACCGGGAGAUAGCUGGUUCUCCCCGAAAGCUAUUUAGGUAGCGCCUCGUGAAUUCAUCUCCGGGGGUAGAGCACUGUUUCGGCAAGGGGGUCAUCCCGACUUACCAACCCGAUGCAAACUGCGAAUACCGGAGAAUGUUAUCACGGGAGACACACGGCGGGUGCUAACGUCCGUCGUGAAGAGGGAAACAACCCAGACCGCCAGCUAAGGUCCCAAAGUCAUGGUUAAGUGGGAAACGAUGUGGGAAGGCCCAGACAGCCAGGAUGUUGGCUUAGAAGCAGCCAUCAUUUAAAGAAAGCGUAAUAGCUCACUGGUCGAGUCGGCCUGCGCGGAAGAUGUAACGGGGCUAAACCAUGCACCGAAGCUGCGGCAGCGACGCUUAUGCGUUGUUGGGUAGGGGAGCGUUCUGUAAGCCUGCGAAGGUGUGCUGUGAGGCAUGCUGGAGGUAUCAGAAGUGCGAAUGCUGACAUAAGUAACGAUAAAGCGGGUGAAAAGCCCGCUCGCCGGAAGACCAAGGGUUCCUGUCCAACGUUAAUCGGGGCAGGGUGAGUCGACCCCUAAGGCGAGGCCGAAAGGCGUAGUCGAUGGGAAACAGGUUAAUAUUCCUGUACUUGGUGUUACUGCGAAGGGGGGACGGAGAAGGCUAUGUUGGCCGGGCGACGGUUGUCCCGGUUUAAGCGUGUAGGCUGGU
RNAcentral lists this ribosomal RNA (1106 nucleotides) under Escherichia coli. RNAcentral's name for it is "partial 23S ribosomal RNA". It matches the Rfam family "Bacterial large subunit ribosomal RNA", at positions 419 to 1529 of the family's 2925-position model. Lineage: Bacteria; Pseudomonadati; Pseudomonadota; Gammaproteobacteria; Enterobacterales; Enterobacteriaceae. The record is from RNAcentral.